RNAcentral lists this ribosomal RNA (241 nucleotides) under Lysinibacillus fusiformis. Its description in RNAcentral is "16S rRNA. Bacterial SSU". It matches the Rfam family "Bacterial small subunit ribosomal RNA", at positions 19 to 248 of the family's 1533-position model. The record is from RNAcentral. Lineage: Bacteria; Bacillati; Bacillota; Bacilli; Caryophanales; Bacillaceae.
CUGGCUCAGGACGAACGCUGGCGGCGUGCCUAAUACAUGCAAGUCGAGCGAACAGAGAAGGAGCUUGCUCCUUCGACGUUAGCGGCGGACGGGUGAGUAACACGUGGGCAACCUACCUUAUAGUUUGGGAUAACUCCGGGAAACCGGGGCUAAUACCGAAUAAUCUGUUUCACCUCAUGGUGAAACACUGAAAGACGGUUUCGGCUGUCGCUAUAGGAUGGGCCCGCGGCGCAUUAGCUAG